AUGCAUGGAAGGAGAAUAUGGCAACUCCUUUAUGGCCAUCCCACGCAUGCUGGACAGCUCCUUUGUUGCACAUUAAAUUCGGCCAUUAAAUGGCCACAAGAAAAGCACCGGCAACUCCUUUAAUGUCGUUCCUUGCAUGUAGAACAGCAUCUUUAAUGCAUGUCUUGCUGUUCAUUAAAUUCGGCCAACAUGCCUCAUUUAAAUGCUGUCCCACGUCCAUGUACCGCACCCAUUAAAAUUCAGCCUUUAAUUCACAUUUUCAGGCACAUUAAAAAUGGUCAACAGACAUAUUAAAUUCGGCAGCCACAAUUAACUUCAGCUGGACACCAUUUAAGACAUCAUUAAAUUUGUUGUAGCAAGACAAAUUAAAUGAUGUAAUGGCUAUUAAAUUCAGCUGGUUAACUAAGCCAAGAAAAAUUAAAUUCAGCUGGAAAAUAAUCAAUAAAUUCGGCAACCUAAGGCACAUUUAAUUCAGCAGCCUAGACAAGUUAAUUAAAUUCGGCUGAACAUUAAAUAACAGCUUAGGCAUAAUAAUUCAGCAAUAAGACACAUUAAUUAAUUGUAAUAAGACAAACACAUUUAUGCUAUGUAAUAAUUAAAACAAAUUAAACAUGCAUUAAACAAACAUAAUUAAAAUGUCCAGAUUUCUUAAUUAAAUACUUAGUAAUUAUUUAAGCUAAAUUAACUAACUCAACUAAUUAAUUUAUUCCAGCAAAUUAAAUUAAAUGAGCUAGAGAGCUAAUAACGAGCUCAAUGAGCUGACUUGAGCUCGAAUGAACCAGAAAUGAGCUUCAUCUUGCACUUGGGGCCCUCGUGUUUAGGCCAAUCUCAUCGGUGUUGGGUUGUGUCAUUACAUGAUGCGAUCGAGAUCACAUCAUACCCUCCCUCUUGAAGAUGAUUUGUCCUCAAAUCGGGCCACUUGCUCGAAAAAAAAAUUUCAAGAUCUCGAACCCUUUUGUUCAUGACCCGAAUAGAAUCAUUUCCAAAACUUUGAAAAUCACAAAUUGUUCGAGAAAGAAUUGAAUUAUUUCCACGUCCUUCCUCUUUUUGAGGGAACCAUCCCGAAGUGUCACCUACACAAGAAAGAGAUAGGUUAGUGACACUAGAAAUUAUAAACUCAAAUGAAUUUUUGAAGAUCUAUUCAACAAGUGAACAUAUGAGUCAAUGCCGGGAUCAAAAAUAGAAGUUGGUCUCACCUUAACAUAAUGAAUUAAAAAAUUCAUUGAUUGCAACAAACCUGAAUCGCAAGGCACUCGAUAGCUAUAAUUUUGGAAGUCAACUUCCCAUGGUUCGAAUCCCUUUGACAACAAUUUAAAAUGAUAUGCACCGGGGUCAAAAACAUAGUUUCCUCUUGCCAUUCCAAUUUGAUAUGACAAUUUCAAAACCAGUAUCAUAAAAAGGAAAUGAUGAAAUUUUAAGUAAUGAUUAUGCAAAACAUAUUCGAACCUUUUAAACCAAAGUAUGAAGCAAUUACUAGAAUCAUAAAUCAAAUUUCGGCUUUGCAAGCUAACAAUAUUCACAUGCUUGGUUCUAGAACAACCAGAUAUAUCAAAUUUCACUUGAUCUAACUUACACAAAGCAGUAACGUCUCACCACCAUCACAAACAAAUGAACUAGAUAUUUUACUCAUCAACGUUUUAUCACACAAACGAAUCAGCAAAUUCAAAUUGUCAUCACAUACAAGCAGAUUUGACGUGUGAUAUGCCAACCUUUUAUCACAAAAAACCAAAUUUUGUUCGGGCUCACCUGGACUUACUUCUUGAUCAAUAUUGACAAUGAUAGGCUCAUGAGCAGAAAGAUAUUUCGCAUUACUAUGUAAAAUACAUCCAUCAACAAUAAAAUUAUGAUUUCCAAUCAAAUCAAGAUGAAAAACUUUCUCACAAACUAAGUCUUUGGUAAUCUUGUCAUCAAAAUUCAACUAAGAUUGGGAAGACUUAAAUAUAGUAGAACCCUUGCAUGGCUUACCUUUAAGCACUUGUGGACUAUGGUCAUCUACGAUCUUACCUUUGUCGACUAAUCGAAAUCGUCUCUUCUCAGAAAAAUAUUGAAGUUGAAAUUGAUCAAUGGGAUUUCGAGAAACCUGAAAAGUAGAAACAAUACAAGGAAAAUUCGUAGGAUGGUUAGUAACAACACUCCUUGCUUGUUCACUUUCAUCCUUUUCGCUUAUUUCUUUUUCCAACUCAUUUUCAAAUCCUCUUUCUUUUAUCAUAUCACUCAUUUCUUUUGCACUCUCAUUUCUUUCUUCAAUCUCACUCUCUUUUUCAGUUUUCUUUUUUUUUUCACACUCGUUUUUAUCCUCAAUCUCAUUUUCAAUUUUCUUUUCUAUCUCAAACUCAUCUUCUUUUUCUUUUUCUCGCUCGCACUCUUUUUUUUUCACAUGCUAUUUCAAUUCCAUUACAAAAAUAAAAAUCAUCAAAAUGAGAAACCUUUUGUUGAGAAUAAGAAAAGGAUUCUUCAUACAAAUGACAAUCAUCUCUUUGUAAUAAAUCUUCUGUAGCCGAGUACCUUGACACUCUUCUAACACGUUCGCCUUCGCGUAAAUAAUCCUUCGUAGAUGAACGACUUGAUGCACUUGAAGAGAGAUAUCUUCUUUCUCAGGUAUCAUCUUGAAAAACCUUAUUCUCAAAACUUUCUUUUUUUCUACUCAAAUUCUUUGAUGAAUAGUAAUCUUGGUAUAGAUCUCUUCUUGAGUAGGAAUCAUGAAAAUCUCUUUUCACCAAGUUAUUAAAUGUUUUUCUCCAUGAUGAUCUUGUUUUCGUCUCUUGACUUGAAGAGAUUUUCUUCCGUUGGAAUCGUUCAUCCAACUUCUUCAAUCGCUCUUUAAUCAGUUCCAAUUUUCUUUGAAGCAUUUGACCCACCUCGUGAAUAAUCGUUUGAUAUGUUGGGUCGAUCAGAACAUCACCAUAUUCUUCACCAUCAAUCCCUUCAAAACUUCUUGACAUCAUAUUUAAUCACACAACAAAACUCACACUUCUCUCACAAAGAAAAUUCACACAAUUUGGCUUUUACUUCUCUCGAAUGGUCUCACCAAUCGCUCUUGCCUUUUUCCACUCGAUUUUCGCCUCUCGAAGUUCUCCGCAAACUAGGUCGACAAAUCAAUACCGUUUGGGGUCGAUUUACAAAAUUGAUGUGGCUUGGUGGGGUUAAUGUCGGGAUUAAAGGUAGCCUAUCAAACAAAAUAGAAAAUGUUAAGUGUGGCUGGAAAUGAAUUUAGUACUUCAGGCAGCAAACAAUGCUUUUACAAACUCAAAAUGAAUUUCAAUCACUCUUUUUUUUUUCAAUUUCGAAAUUUUUUUUCUUUUUUUUUUGUUCUUCAAUACUGAAUACAACAAGGAAAAAUGAAUUGAAUACAAACUUUUUUUUUGAAUUUUUUUUUGAAUUUUUUUUUGAAUUUUUUUUUUUAUUUUUUUACAAUACCGUAAUACCGAAGAUGGCGAUUCUUACUCCAAUUCAGCUAGCUCUAAUACCAAAUGAUACGCCCCAGCCUCGGUGAUGAGAGUCGAGUCGUUGAUGUGCCCGAUUGUGAAUUGGAGUAAUAUUAAGGUUUGUCGAAAAUAGGUUAAGAAAGAAAAUAUAAAGGCUCAAAUUAGUUCAAAAGUGGUGAUGGAAUGUAUUGAGGUUGAUAUGUGAACGAAAAUAAAGUAUUCAAGUUGAACCAACACAAUAUAAUUGAGUUAACCCGGGACUUAUAUGAAUACUUAGGUAUGUUUGUAUGGAUGGAAAACGAAUAAAUUGGAACCUCGACCCACUAUCAAAGAUGAUAGGAACCUCGGUAUAAUUUGAACGCCACACUUUUGGUGCAAAGUGAUAAGUUCGGGAAAGAAAGCCGGGUUGACGCCACAAGGGUUACUUGAUAAGUCAGACGAGUCUUUGGAAAACAAUGAGAGUUGAAAACAAACUAACAAAAUGUAUAAACGUUAAUCCAGGUUCAAAAAGUUAUUUUACAAUGAAAAUAAACAACUAUUUAUAGCCAAAAACAAGGGCUAGCCGAAUGGUCAUUAUAGAACAUGAAUGGUCAAUUCGGUUCAGCCUUAAUGAACUGAAAGUUAAAGGAAAAUUCCAGGUAGCUUCUUGUGUGUUGGGGACGUCAACAGCCAGCUUCUAGAGGCCUUGGAAUCAGCUGGAAAGUAAUGAGCUACAUUGGGAGCUGAAUGGGACAAGCUAAGUUCGGCCAAUAAUUGUUGAGCUAUUAAAAAUUGCUUUGAUUAGCUGAAACGUCUUGGAAGCUUUAAUGAGUAGUUUUGGAGACUCCACCGGCCUUGCAAUGUGAAUUUAUGGAAGGGAAUUUUCACCCUUGCAAUGCACAAAGGGAUGCUUGGAAAAUAGCAACCAGCAGCCCACUUUCUUUAAUUGCAAGGCCUCUUUUAAAUUCUGCUCAUUCAUUCUCUCAAAUGGGCGGCACCUGUAUGGCAUUUGAGGAACACGAAAAUGGCUCAUGGGAAAUAGAAAACAGCAACUCUUCUUUAAAUGAUGUCCAUGCAUGGAAGGAGAAUUUGGCAACUUCUUUAUGGCCAUCCCACUCAUGCUGGACAGCUCCUUUGUUGCACAUUAAAUUCGGCCAUUAAAUGGCCACAUAAAAAGCACCAGCAACUCCUUUAAUACCGUUCAUUGCAUGUAGAACAGCAUCUUUAAUGCAUGUCUUGCUGUUUAUUAAAUUCGGCCAACAUGCCUCAUUUAAAUGCUUUCCCACGUCCAUGUACCUGAACCCAUUAAAAUUCAGCCUUUAAUUCACAUUUUCAGGCACAUUAAAAAUGGUCAACAAACAUAUUAAAUUCGGCAACCACAAUUAACUUCAGAUGGAAACCAUUUAAGACAUCAUUAAAUUCAUUGUAGCAAGACAAAUUAAGUGAUGUAAUGACAAUUAAAUUCAGCUGGUUAACUAAGCCAAGAAAAAUUAAAUUCAGCUGGAAAAUAAUCAAUAAAUUCGGCAACCUAAGGCACAUUUAAUUCAGCAGCCU
RNAcentral lists this long non-coding RNA (4958 nucleotides) under Gossypium barbadense (sea-island cotton). Its description in RNAcentral is "long non-coding RNA (GBAR_LNC014904)". The record is from RNAcentral. Lineage: Eukaryota; Viridiplantae; Streptophyta; Magnoliopsida; Malvales; Malvaceae.